Long non-coding RNA from Lagopus leucura (white-tailed ptarmigan), 1307 nucleotides. RefSeq lists it as uncharacterized. The transcript is spliced from 2 exons. Lineage: Eukaryota; Metazoa; Chordata; Aves; Galliformes; Phasianidae. The record is from RefSeq and is a predicted model, not a curated record.
CGCGGUGGUGACGCGGAGCUGCGGGCGGGGAACGGACGGCGCCGACCUGAGGCUGGACGGCGUGCGGCUGUCGGUAGAGAUAACGUUGACCCAGCCGGGUUUGUGUCAGCCCGUUUAUCCCAGCUGAAAACGCUCGCUUAGAAAACCGAAACCUUCAUUAAGACGUCGUCGUCGGACGGCAAGUAGUAACGAUUGGAAAAAGAAAGCAUGCGUAUAAAAUUGUGCUGCUUCUUGGUUAUACGUUACUAUUAAAACCUCUCUGACAGUUUCUCUUUUAGGUGCUUGCCCUGCCAGGCUCCGUUGUGUAGGGGUUAAAGAGCAGUCGUUUCCCACCUCGCAACCUGUGGAUUCAGCUGUGUUGGGGCAGAAGAGACGGGACCAGCUGCUGGCCACAUUUCCUGCUUUAUUUUAAAAGGUAGUAUAAGAAAUGAGAAUAAAGAGGUAACAGGGCUUUUGCUGUCUUUGUUUAAACAAACGAAAAAAGGUUGAAUGCUGGGAUUCAUUAUCUGUCAUCCGAGAUGUUUUUUAGAAGACAGUAUCCUAUCAAGCAGUGUUUUCAGAAUUCCAUCUGUUCAGGAUGCACUGCCAGCACAAGAGAGACUUAAGACGUGCAUUACUGCGGUGGCAUUGGCAGGACUGUUCCGAGGUUCAGUCUUUAGCUGUGUGCUCUGCUGCAGGUGGUGGGUUAUGCCAGGACCUUCUCUAGAUGUGUGCUGACUGAUACACAGAAUGGAAAUUAGUGAGUUAGAUUGAGCCUAGGUUGAAUCUGCCUGGCUCAGGCUUCACAACCACGCUUCAGUUUGAAUUUUAGUGUGUGCAUGAGAAGGGAAACACAAAUGCAGCAAGUGUGGGAUGUUACAGUGGCAUUGCUACAGUCGCUUCAGUGCAGUUUAAGUUAAAUAAGCAUUGUUUCAUUUUGCAUCACUGCAACGCGGUAGGAGUCAGAGAUCUCUGUUAUGAAGCUGCACGUCACUCGAGCCAUGAAACCACCUGAGCUGUGUCUGAUGUUGUGGUACACACAGUGACAUAGACCUGUGCAAGAACAAGGUCAAGUCCCAGAAAGUAAGUGGCUGCAGGCAUAUCUAGUGCCUACUGAACCAUAUUUAAACCAAGUAGAGGGGAGGAGGUUAUUUGAAACUAACCAACUGUACCAUCUGUAUGGUGUACUAAUUUUUGAAGUGGAAGCCUUGAAAUGACUUAAACUUAAUACUUGAAAAUAUAUUGUAAAUGUUUCUUUGUAAUGACGUGCCAUCCAGAUGAGAAUACUGUAUCAUAAUAAAGUCAGACCUGUUGAUCUUGGGCUCAAA